This 460-nucleotide ribosomal RNA is filed under the name uncultured bacterium. RNAcentral's name for it is "partial 16S ribosomal RNA". It matches the Rfam family "Bacterial small subunit ribosomal RNA", at positions 338 to 795 of the family's 1533-position model. The record is from RNAcentral.
CCUACGGGAGGCAGCAGUGAGGAAUAUUGGACAAUGGACGAGAGCCUGAACCAGCCACGCCGCGUGAAGGAUGAAUGCUCUAUGGGUUGUAAACUUCUUUUAUAUGGGAAUAAAAUGUUCCACGUGUGGGAUUUUGUAUGUAUCAUAUGAAUAAGGAUCGGCUAACUACGUGCCAGCAGCCGCGGUAAUACGGAGGAUCCGAGCGUUAGCCGGAUUUAUUGGGUGUAAAGGGAGCGUAGGUGGAUUGUUAAGUCAGUUGUGAAAGUUUGCGGCUCAACCGUAAAAUUGCAGUUGAAACUGGCAGUCUUGAGUACAGGAGAGGUAGGCGGAAUUCGUGGUGUAGCGGUGAAAUGCGUAGAUAUCACGAAGAACUCCGAUUGCGAAGGCAGGUCACUGGACUGCAACUGACACUGAGGCUCGAAGGUGUGGGGAGCAAACAGGAUUAGAUACCCCAGUAGUC